Molecule: long non-coding RNA, 151 nt
Organism: Pipistrellus kuhlii (Kuhl's pipistrelle)
Lineage: Eukaryota; Metazoa; Chordata; Mammalia; Chiroptera; Vespertilionidae
Exons: 3
Source: RefSeq, a predicted model, not a curated record
CAAAACCUCCCAUCUUGCUCUGAACUCCAGUUCCAGGCAAGACUCUGGGGACCCAGACUCAUAAGGGAGAAACUGAACUGUUUGGCAGUGGGAGAAACUUGAAGGCGGCUUUCUCUCAAAGGUGUUUGCAGCAAUUAGCUGGGUCACUGAG